This 484-nucleotide ribosomal RNA is filed under the name uncultured bacterium. Its description in RNAcentral is "partial 16S ribosomal RNA". It matches the Rfam family "Bacterial small subunit ribosomal RNA", at positions 30 to 507 of the family's 1533-position model. The record is from RNAcentral.
AUUGAACGCUGGCGGCAGGCCUAACACAUGCAAGUCGAGCGGAUGAAGGGAGCUUGCUCCUGGAUUCAGCGGCGGACGGGUGAGUAAUGCCUAGGAAUCUGCCUGGUAGUGGGGGAUAACGUCCGGAAACGGGCGCUAAUACCGCAUACGUCCUGAGGGAGAAAGUGGGGGAUCUUCGGACCUCACGCUAUCAGAUGAGCCUAGGUCGGACUAGCUAGUUGGUGGGGUAAAGGCCUACCAAGGCGACGAUCCGUAACUGGUCUGUGAGGAUGAUCAGUCACACUGGAACUGAGACACGGUCCAGACUCCUACGGGAGGCAGCAGUGGGGAAUAUUGGACAAUGGGCGAAAGCCUGAUCCAGCCAUGCCGCGUGUGUGAAGAAGGUCUUCGGAUUGUAAAGCACUUUAAGUUGGGAGGAAGGGCAGUAAGUUAAUACCUUGCUGUUUUGACGUUACCAACAGAAUAAGCACCGGCUAACUUCGUG